CAGUAGCCGCGGGAACACGGAGGAUCCAAGCGUUAUCCGGAAUCAUUGGGUUUAAAGGGUCCGUAGGCGGUCUUGUAAGUCAGUGGUGAAAGCCCAUCGCUCAACGGUGGAACGGCCAUUGAUACUGCAGGACUUGAAUUAUUGGGAAGUAACUAGAAUAUGUAGUGUAGCGGUGAAAUGCUUAGAGAUUACAUGGAAUACCAAUUGCGAAGGCAGGUUACUACCAAUUGAUUGACGCUGAUGGACGAAAGCGUGGGUAGCGAACAGGAUUAGAGACCCGCGUAGUCCCUGUCUCUUAUAC
This 301-nucleotide ribosomal RNA is filed under the name uncultured bacterium. RNAcentral describes it as "partial 16S ribosomal RNA". It matches the Rfam family "Bacterial small subunit ribosomal RNA", at positions 509 to 807 of the family's 1533-position model. The record is from RNAcentral.